AACGAACGCUGGCGGCAUGCCUAACACAUGCAAGUCGAACGAGACCUUCGGGUCUAGUGGCGCACGGGUGCGUAACGCGUGGGAACCUGCCCUUAGGUUCGGAAUAACUCCCCGAAAGGGGUGCUAAUACCGGAUAAUGUCUUCGGACCAAAGAUCUAUCGCCUUUGGAUGGGCCCGCGUUGGAUUAGCUAGUUGGUAGGGUAAAAGCCUACCAAGGCGACGAUCCAUAGCUGGUCUGAGAGGAUGAUCCGCCACACUGGGACUGAGACACGGCCCAGACUCCUACGGGAGGCAGCAGUGGGGAAUAUUGGACAAUGGGCGAAAGCCUGAUCCAGCAAUGCCGCGUGAGUGAUGAAGGCCUUAGGGUUGUAAAGCUCUUUUACCCGGGAUGAUAAUGACAGUACCGGGAGAAUAAGCUCCGGCUAACUCCGUG
This 433-nucleotide ribosomal RNA is filed under the name uncultured bacterium. RNAcentral's name for it is "partial 16S ribosomal RNA". It matches the Rfam family "Bacterial small subunit ribosomal RNA", at positions 29 to 507 of the family's 1533-position model. The record is from RNAcentral.